UGGGGAAUAUUGCACAAUGGGCGCAAGCCUGAUGCAGCCAUGCCGCGUGUGUGAAGAAGGCCUUCGGGUUGUAAAGCACUUUCAGCGAGGAGGAAGGUGGUGAGCUUAAUACGCUCAUCAAUUGACGUUACUCGCAGAAGAAGCACCGGCUAACUCCGUGCCAGCAGCCGCGGUAAUACGGAGGGUGCAAGCGUUAAUCGGAAUUACUGGGCGUAAAGCGCACGCAGGCGGUUUGUUAAGUCAGAUGUGAAAUCCCCGGGCUCAACCUGGGAACUGCAUUUGAAACUGGCAAGCUAGAGUCUCGUAGAGGGGGGUAGAAUUCCAGGUGUAGCGGUGAAAUGCGUAGAGAUCUGGAGGAAUACCGGUGGCGAAGGCGGCCCCCCUGGACGAAGACUGACGCUCAGGUGCGAAAGCGUGGGGCAGCAAACAGGAUUAGAUACCCUGGUAGUCCAGCGCUGUAAACGAUGUCGAUUUUGGAGGUUGUGCCCCUUGAGGCGUGGCUUCCGGAGCUAACGCGUUAAAUCGACCGCCUGGGGAGUACGGCCGCAAGGUUAAAACUCAAAUGAAUUGCGGGGUCUAGCUG
This 583-nucleotide ribosomal RNA is filed under the name uncultured bacterium. Its description in RNAcentral is "partial 16S ribosomal RNA". It matches the Rfam family "Bacterial small subunit ribosomal RNA", at positions 355 to 926 of the family's 1533-position model. The record is from RNAcentral.